This 520-nucleotide ribosomal RNA is filed under the name uncultured Glomus. RNAcentral's name for it is "partial 18S ribosomal RNA". Lineage: Eukaryota; Fungi; Glomeromycota; Glomeromycetes; Glomerales; Glomeraceae. The record is from RNAcentral.
CGUAAGGCGCCGAAUGAGUCAUUAUAAAAUUAACAUCAUCCGAUCCCUAGUCGGCAUAGUUUAUGGUUAAGACUACGACGGUAUCUGAUCGUCUUCGAUCCCCCUAACUUUCGUUCUUGAUUAAUGAAAACAUCCUUGGCAAAUGCUUUCGCAGUAGUUAGUCUUCAAUAAAUCCAAGAAUUUCACCUCUGACAAUUGAAUACUAAUGCCCCCCAAUAUCCCUAUUAAUCAUUACGUCGAUCCCUAGAAACCAACAAAAUAGGUUCGAACGUCCUAUUUCAUUAUUCCAUGCUAAUGUAUUCGAGCGAUUGCUUGCUUUAAACACUCUAAUUUUUUCAAAGUAACAGUCCUAACUCCCCGUAACACCAAAUUAAUGACAUCACGAUUCGUCAGAAGGGAGAAAUCAAUGACGUUAGUACGUACCGAAGCACGACCGACGUAUUGAUCCCGAAAUUCAACUACGAGCUUUUAACUGCAACAACUUUAAUAUACGCUAUUGGAGCUGGAUUACCGCGGCUGC